AUCACACACCGGGACCUGUCAUGGGUUGACACUGCAACUUGCUUUGACCAAUAGCAUGGACAGAAAUGAGACCUACCAACUUUAUAUUGCUCUCUUCGAGGUCUGUGCCACCACGUAAGAAGUAUAACUAUGCUGCUUCUAGUGAAGUUGAGCCUCACCCAGAUGUCUCAGCUACCAUAACUAAGGCACUA
This is a long non-coding RNA of Homo sapiens (human), 191 nucleotides long. The record is from Ensembl. NCBI's taxonomy places the organism in Eukaryota, Metazoa, Chordata, Mammalia, Primates, Hominidae.